Molecule: ribosomal RNA, 467 nt
Filed under: uncultured bacterium
Lineage: Bacteria
Description: partial 16S ribosomal RNA
Rfam family: Bacterial small subunit ribosomal RNA
Source: RNAcentral
GACGAACGCUGGCGGCGUGCUUAACACAUGCAAGUCGAACGGAAAGGCCCUGCUUUUGUGGGGUGCUCGAGUGGCGAACGGGUGAGUAACACGUGAGUAACCUGCCCUUGACUUUGGGAUAACUUCGGAAACCGGGGCCAAUACCGGAUAGGAGCUCCUGCUGCAUGGGGGGGGUUGGAAAGUUUCGGCGGUUGGGGAUGGACUCGCGGCUUAUCAGCUUGUUGGUGGGGUAGUGGCUUACCAAGGCUUUGACGGGUAGCCGGCCUGAGAGGGUGACCGGCCACAUUGGGACUGAGAUACGGCCCAGACUCCUACGGGAGGCAGCAGUGGGGAAUAUUGCACAAUGGGCGGAAGCCUGAUGCAGCAACGCCGCGUGCGGGAUGACGGCCUUCGGGUUGUAAACCGCUUUCGCCUGUGACGAAGCGUGAGUGACGGUAAUGGGUAAAGAAGCACCGGCUAACUACGUG